RNAcentral lists this ribosomal RNA (292 nucleotides) under uncultured Acidobacteriota bacterium. RNAcentral's name for it is "uncultured Acidobacteria bacterium partial 16S ribosomal RNA". The record is from RNAcentral. Lineage: Bacteria; Pseudomonadati; Acidobacteriota.
GGACUACAGGGGUAUCUAAUCCUGUUUGCUCCCCUAGCUUUCGUCCCUCAGCGUCAGUUGCGAUCCAGCGAGCCGCUUUCGCCUCGGAUGUUCCUGCGGAUAUCUACGCAUUUCACCGCUACACCCGCAAUUCCACUCGCCUCUCUCGCACUCUAGCACAGCAGUUUCGGGAGCAGCCUCUGAGUUAAGCCCAGAGAUUUCACUUCCGACUUGCCACACCGCCUACGGACCCUUUACGCCCAGUAAUUCCGAGCAACGCUGGCCCCCUACGUUUUACCGCGGCUGCUGGCAC